Sycon ciliatum is the source of this 1370-nucleotide long non-coding RNA. RefSeq lists it as uncharacterized. The transcript is spliced from 3 exons. The record is from RefSeq and is a predicted model, not a curated record. Lineage: Eukaryota; Metazoa; Porifera; Calcarea; Leucosolenida; Sycettidae.
CACGUACUUGGCAGCCCAGUGAGCUGUCUACCGGAUCGCAGCGUUUAGAAGCGCCAAAUGCGGCAGGGCCAGUCUCAGGCUGGUCGCGUAGGCGGCAGGCCGGCGGGCGACCGGCAAGGCUGCAUUCGCAUUUGGAUCACCGAAGUGAUACAGGUGCUUCGACGGCACUCCGUGGCGCAUCAAGGAGGCAUCUGGGGCCCAGGCAGCCCGCCCGUAAGCGCACCACCGUAUCAGGUAUGCGCAGGUGGAGCAGCAGAGCAAGAUGUGUGCCGGACACUCACCAUCAUCCGGUCGACUGCAUGGUUGUGCGACUUUACACAGCCGUCACUCAUUACUUGCUAUUGCUUGCAGAAGGCCAGAAUUUUUUUGCUCUCGUUUACUCUAAAGCUAGUUGGUUUACAUGGUUUAUGCCCGUACCUGAGCAUGGAUCCUACUCAGCAGCGGAUCGCUGGUAUUCCUCGUUUGAGACCGCGGCGACGGCAGCGUCGGCCCUGACCAACAACCCUCGGGCGAUGAGCAUGCCGGCCGAAAAUGCAGGCAUGGACACUGUCGUGUAUGACCAGUUUAGUUGAGUUCCUUGGAGGCGCUAUGAUGCCGGCCGGCGCAUGUGUUGGCGCACGGGAGACGAUUAGGACAAUACGGCGUGCGGAAUACUUCGAGCUGGCCACAAUGCUUCCUUCCCGUCCUGCCCACACGCAGCCAGCAGCCAAACGUGUUAGAAUCGAUCAAUCCGAUGGCAAUCACCGAAUGGAAUUGUCAUUGGCGGCUCCUCUUCUGGCAAGAGAAAAACUGAAUCUCUAAUCUAACUGGGUCGAGGCCUGGCAGACUUUCAGAACCAUCGCGCCUUGCAACACGAGCUUACGCCCUCUGGGGCCCUAAGUAGUCCGACAAGAAAUUCAUACUGCACGGCGACAAAAGGCAGUUGGAGCAGUCUGAAAUCCGGGACUUGCCGAAAUCCAACCGUGACGGAACUAGCCCACUUCAGCCCCCGCAUGGUAGCAGAACACAAGGCUUAUCUCGCUGACUACCCAUAUUACGGUCAAGGACAACUCCGCUGCGGACGCUCUUUCACGCGGACGAUUAGUCCAUUUCCUCUCAUCGGCUCCCUAAUCCAGCUGCUCGACUCGGCUUAGUCCCGAACUCAUGCUAUGCGGGAGCAACUAAUCAUGGCAGCAAACCGGCUGAACUUCUUCUCAACCAAUGCGUGCCUCCUUUUUCAUUCGCUGUGUAGUCUAUCUCUCUCAGCACACGUGGCUAACCAACGAGAUGAGGAUGGUCAUUGUCAUUUUCUAAGCUGCGAACGGGCAGAAAGCUACACAACAAGAUGAGGAUGGUCAUUGUCAUUUUCUGAGCUGCGAACGGGCAGAAAG